GUAGUCCACGCCGUAAACGAUGAGCACUAGUUGUGGGAGGAGUAAACCCCUACCGUGACAAAGCUAACGCAUUAAGUGCUCCGCCUGGGGAGUACGGUCGCAAGACUAAAACUCAAAGGAAUUGACGGGGGCCCGCACAAGCGGUGGAUUAUGUGGUUUAAUUCGAAGCAACGCGCAAAACCUUACCUGGGUUUGAAAUCCUACGAAUCCUGCAGAGAUGUGGGAGUGCCCUUCGGGGAAUGUAGAGACAGGCGCUGCAUGGCUGUCGUCAGCUCGUGUUGUGAAAUGUUGGGUUAAGUCUCGCAACGAGCGCAACCCCUAUCCUUAGUUGCCAGCAUUAAGUUGGGCACUCUAGGGAGACUGCCUGGGUUAACCAGGA
This 379-nucleotide ribosomal RNA is filed under the name uncultured bacterium. Its description in RNAcentral is "bacterial SSU rRNA". It matches the Rfam family "Bacterial small subunit ribosomal RNA", at positions 790 to 1167 of the family's 1533-position model. The record is from RNAcentral.